RNAcentral lists this ribosomal RNA (457 nucleotides) under uncultured bacterium. RNAcentral's name for it is "bacterial SSU rRNA". It matches the Rfam family "Bacterial small subunit ribosomal RNA", at positions 340 to 786 of the family's 1533-position model. The record is from RNAcentral.
UACGGAAGGCAGCAGUGGGGAAUAUUGCACAAUGGGCGCAAGCCUGAUGCAGCCAUGCCGCGUGUAUGAAAAAGGGCCUUUCGGGGUUGUAAAGUACUUUCAGUCGUGAGGAAGGUGUUAAGGUUAAUAACCUUAGCAAUUGACGUUAGCGACAGAAGAAGCACCGGCUAACUCCGUGCCAGCAGCCGCGGUAAUACGGAGGGUGCGAGCGUUAAUCGGAAUUACUGGGCGUAAAGGGCACGCAGGCGGUUAAUUAAGUUGGAUGUGAAAUCCCCGGGCUUAACCUGGGAAUGGCAUUCAAGACUGGUUAGCUAGAGUCUUGUAGAGGGGGUAGAAUUCCAUGUGUAGCGGUGAAAUGCGUAGAGAUGUGGAGGAAUACCGGUGGCGAAGGCGGCCCCUGGACAAAGACUGACGCUCGAUGUGCGAAAGCGUGGGGAGCAAACAGGGAUUAGAUACC